Sapajus apella (tufted capuchin) is the source of this 101-nucleotide long non-coding RNA. RefSeq lists it as uncharacterized. Lineage: Eukaryota; Metazoa; Chordata; Mammalia; Primates; Cebidae. The record is from RefSeq and is a predicted model, not a curated record. The transcript is spliced from 3 exons.
UGUCCCUCCUUGCAGAGUUAUUUCUAGUUAAUACAUUAUGCAGAAGGUAUAAGGGCUUGUCUUUGCUCUUUAGUGCUUGGUAUAGUUCUUUCAUGUUUCCC